This 497-nucleotide ribosomal RNA is filed under the name uncultured bacterium. Its description in RNAcentral is "partial 16S ribosomal RNA". It matches the Rfam family "Bacterial small subunit ribosomal RNA", at positions 28 to 507 of the family's 1533-position model. The record is from RNAcentral.
GACGAACGCUGGCGGCGUGCCUAAUACAUGCAAGUUGAGCGCUGAAGGUUGGUCCUUGUACCAACUGGAUGAGCAGCGAACGGGUGAGUAACGCGUGGGGAAUCUGCCUUUGAGCGGGGGACAACAUUUGGAAACGAAUGCUAAUACCGCAUAAAAUCUUUAAACACAAGUUUUAAGUUUGAAAGAUGCAAUUGCAUCACUCAAAGAUGAUCCCGCGUUGUAUUAGCUAGUUGGUGAGGUAAAGGCUCACCAAGGCGAUGAUACAUAGCCGACCUGAGAGGGUGAUCGGCCACAUUGGGACUGAGACACGGCCCAAACUCCUACGGGAGGCAGCAGUAGGGAAUCUUCGGCAAUGGACGAAAGUCUGACCGAGCAACGCCGCGUGAGUGAAGAAGGUUUUCGGAUCGUAAAACUCUGUUGGUAGAGAAGAACGUUGGUGAGAGUGGAAAGCUCAUCAAGUGACGGUAACUACCCAGAAAGGGACGGCUAACUACGUG